This 640-nucleotide long non-coding RNA is filed under the name Homo sapiens (human). Its description in RNAcentral is "HSALNT0078299". Lineage: Eukaryota; Metazoa; Chordata; Mammalia; Primates; Hominidae. The record is from RNAcentral.
GUUACCUCCUGCUUUAGAUCUAGAAUGUAUACCAACCAGAAAAACAAGGCAAUUGUCUUCUUAAUGAAUUAUUUUUGAGUCAGAGCAUCUUUCUCCAUCCCCUUUCUGCAUUAGUUCUUAAAUAGCUAGUCUUCAAAGCCAACAAACCUAGAACAAACUGGGCAGGAUGAGAAAAUGGGUGCUGGAGAGGAUGGGUGAUGGAGAAGUGCUGAUAAUAUUACCCUGCUUUUUGGGAUAAAUAGUCCCAAAAAGUCAAGUGUGAUAAUUUUGAGAAAAGAACCCUAACGACCCUGAGUUUGGAGAACUGAAGAUUUUGACUGUUUUUUUGUCAUAGUGUCUUUUCAGAGUGAUUAAGAGGGAGGAAAAGAUUUCAAAGGAGUGUAUUUUCCAGAAAUAAUUGAGUAUUAUUAGAGCGACAGUUGAAUAUGUCAACCUAAACUCUCUAGCUAUGGGUCCGGGAAAAAAUGCAACCAAUCAAUCUUCUCACCAGUCUUGCCAUCCAGACAACAGAGAACUGAGGCAAGUAUAUACCAGCCCCUUACCUCUUUACCAAAACUGAAUCUUGUGGGAGCUCAUCUCAUUUAGUGUAAUUAAAACAAUAAAAGAUUCCUCAAGGUGGAUGAAUAAUACACAAAAGCGG